AUUCCAGUUCCAAUAGCGUAUAUUUAAGUUGUUGCAGUUAAAAAGCUCGUAGUUGGAUUUCGGGCCCAGGUGACCGGUCCGCCGUUUCGGUGUGCACUGGUUAGCUCGGUCUUUCUGCCGGGGACACGCUCCGUCUUAAUUGCCGGACGUGGAGUCGGCGAUGUUACUUUGAAAAAAUUAGAGUGUUCAAAGCAGGCUUACGCUCUGAAUACUAUAGCAUGGAAUAACACGAUAGGACUCCGAGCCUAUUUUGUUGGUCUUCGGGACCGGAGUAAUGAUUAAGAGGGACAGUUGGGGGCAUUCGUAUUACGGUGUCAGAGGUGAAAUUCUUGGAUUUCCGUAAGACGAACUUCUGCGAAAGCAUUUGCCAAGGAUGUUUUCAUUA
This 385-nucleotide ribosomal RNA is filed under the name prasinophyte sp. RNAcentral describes it as "partial small subunit ribosomal RNA". It matches the Rfam family "Eukaryotic small subunit ribosomal RNA", at positions 582 to 975 of the family's 1831-position model. The record is from RNAcentral. Lineage: Eukaryota; Viridiplantae; Chlorophyta.